UUUUUUACCUGCACCGUGUGGCCCCCUUUACGGCCCUAUGAGCCCUGUUCUAAUGUAGUGCACUCGUUAGGGAAUAGGCUGUAAUUUGGGACGCCUCCUGGUUUGUUUGUUGAUGAGGACUUUUAAUAAGGUUGAUGUUGCUGACAAACAGAACAUGGUGAUCUCUCUCUCAGGAGACUCCUGAAUUAACAGGGUCCCUUAUGAACCUUUCAGCUUGGAUUCAGCAUGUUCUGAUAAUGAAUUGUUGAUUCAACAUGCUGUGGAUUCCGAGUCGUAGGCAGUAGCGUGGGGAGUCGGAGGUCGCGGAGCACAUCACUUCCUGUAUUACAUCACUUCACCUCUCCCGGAGAUCUCACCAUAAUGACGCCACCGUGUUGCCAAACACCUCACCCUCCUCCCCCACCUACAGCCAUCUAACCUGACACAGGAGGAGGGGAGGGGCUUCAGACCAUGGGAGGCGGGGCUUCACCCCAAAAACAAUGGACAAUGAUUUCCUGAUUUAAUUUUUUUUUAAUUUAAAUUUUGUACAACAGCUGGUAAUCAUGACGAUCUAGUCAGUGGUUCCUGUUUGUGUUAGUGGUAAGUAAUUACUAGUUUUCUUUUACUGCUAUGUAUUCUUUGGUCCGUUGUUCAGAACACUUCUGUUGCAGCUCUUCCACCAAUAGCAGCAUGUAGCUCUCCUGUCAGAGUAGCCAGGUUCUGUACGCAGUCAGACAGUUAAAGCUGACCUGAGGUCGUAACUGGAAACACUGAAGUUGGACUUGUGGUUAAAAUCGAGGCGUGAAAUGGAGUCGACUACAGCUGUAUUUAGACUUUGCACAUUUUCGAUUAAAAAUCGCAAAUCUAAAUAAACUUUCAACAUUGACCAUAUUAUUUUUGUGAAAUCUAAUUUUGAUUCUGAGUUCGGGCAUAUUAAGUUUUAUAUGUCUAUUUCUAUGUAACUAUUUCUAUGUAACUAAUAUGUAACUAUUUCUAAAAAGUGUAUUUUUCAGAACUCACUUCCUCAGUUUAAAUCACUUGCGCUGCUCACAUAUCGGCUUCUACAAUGUAGGGGGAGGUUAAGGGUUAUGGUAGGUGGAGAUGGACUGAGAGAUCAGCCAAUUAAAACCAGCGGUUGUUUUUUGCCGAUCCUGCCACAGGCCAUGUUCGAGAGAACCAAAACCGUAAUGCAUCAUGGGUAAAUUGUGACUGACUGAUCUACAAAUAAUAAUUCUAUAAUGAAUACUUAUUCAUGGUGGAAGGUGAUUUGUAGAUCAGGCAGUCGACAGUCACCUGAAGUGUCCAACAGGACAUAUAGAAUAAUUCUAGUCCCGUUCUGAAUCGCUGUGAAACCAGAUGUCUUGACAUACGAAGGGCCGGCUGGUGGGAUUGUAAUGAGACCAAUGAAGGCUGUGUUAAGUAAUGGA
Oncorhynchus tshawytscha (Chinook salmon) is the source of this 1406-nucleotide long non-coding RNA. The record is from Ensembl. NCBI's taxonomy places the organism in Eukaryota, Metazoa, Chordata, Actinopteri, Salmoniformes, Salmonidae.